RNAcentral lists this non-coding RNA (22 nucleotides) under Arabidopsis thaliana (thale cress). Lineage: Eukaryota; Viridiplantae; Streptophyta; Magnoliopsida; Brassicales; Brassicaceae. The record is from RNAcentral.
UGUAGUUACAGAUACCACCUCG